UGGAGAAUUUUGCACAAUGGGGGAAACCCUGAUGCAGCGACGCCGCGUGAUUUAGAAGGCCUUCGGGUUGUAAAAAUCUUUUCUAUGGGAAGAAAAUGACAGUACCAUAGGAAUAAGGACCGGCUAAUUACGUGCCAGCAGCCGCGGUAAUACGUAAGGUCCGAGCGUUGUCCGGAAUCAUUGGGCGUAAAGGGUACGUAGGCGGGUAAGCAAGUUAGAAGUGAAAUCCUAUAGCUCAACUAUAGUAAGCUUUUAAAACUGCUCAUCUUGAGGUAUGGAAGGGAAAGUGGAAUUCCUAGUGUAGCGGUGAAAUGCGCAGAUAUUAGGAGGAAUACCGGUGGCGAAGGCGACUUUCUGGCCAUAACCUGACGCUGAGGUACGAAAGCGUGGGUAGCAAACAGG
Molecule: ribosomal RNA, 402 nt
Filed under: bacterium
Lineage: Bacteria
Description: partial 16S ribosomal RNA
Rfam family: Bacterial small subunit ribosomal RNA
Source: RNAcentral